This 483-nucleotide ribosomal RNA is filed under the name uncultured bacterium. Its description in RNAcentral is "bacterial SSU rRNA". It matches the Rfam family "Bacterial small subunit ribosomal RNA", at positions 29 to 507 of the family's 1533-position model. The record is from RNAcentral.
AUUGAACGCUGGCGGGUAUGCCUUACACAUGCAAGUCGAACGGKAGGGGGAGCAAUCCCCCGAGAGKGGSGAACGGGUGAGUAAUACAUCGGAACGUGSCCAGUCGUGGGGGAUAACGUAGCGAAAGCUACGCUAAUACCGCAUACGACCCGAGGGUGAAAGCGGGGGACUCGCAAGAGCCUCGCGCGAUUGGAGCGGSCGAUGGSAGAUUAGGUAGUUGGUGGGGUAAAGGCCCACCAAGCCUGCGAUCUGUAGCUGGUCUGAGAGGACGACCAGCCACACUGGGACUGAGACACGGCCCAGACUCCUACGGGAGGSAGCAGUGGGGAAUUUUGGACAAUGGGCGAAAGCCUGAUCCAGCCAUACCGCGUGCGGGAAGAAGGSCUUCGGGUUGUAAACCGCUUUUGUCAGGGAAGAAAUACCUCGGGUUAAUACCCUGGGGUGAUGACGGUACCUGAAGAAUAAGCACCGGCUAACUACGUG